CACCUCGACUUGAGACUCUACCUCCGUCUGUUCCUCAGAACGACCUGGCCGUGCGGGGGGGAGCACCAAAAGGCGAAGAGGAAAAGUUUCCUCUCUGGAAAGCUUUGACUGGGAAGGGGUGUGAAUCAAACCAGAAGACUGGCAUGUGGCAUUGCUAGAUCCUGUAAUGUGUGAGUCAGAGACACCCUGGAGACCCGUUACCUGAGGCACACCAGCAGGGAACUGAAUCAGAAGUGGAGCAUCCAGAACUUAAACUGGAACCCAUAUGGAUGCUGACACAGCAGGCA
Molecule: long non-coding RNA, 287 nt
Organism: Ochotona princeps (American pika)
Lineage: Eukaryota; Metazoa; Chordata; Mammalia; Lagomorpha; Ochotonidae
Exons: 3
Source: RefSeq, a predicted model, not a curated record